GCUGGCGCGGUCGCACGUGCCUGCAGCCCCAGCUACUCGCGAGGCUGAGGUGGGAGGAUGGCUUGAGCCCAGGAGUUCUGGGCUGUAGUGUGCUAUUCCAAUCGGGUAUCUGCACUAAGUUCGGCAUCAAUAUGAUGACCUCCCCGGAGUGGGGGACCACCAGAGAGGGGUGAACCCGCAGAGGUUGGAAACUGAACAGGUCAAAACUCCCGUGCUGAUCAGUAGUGGAAUCGUGCCUGUGAAUAGCCACUGCAUUCCAGCCUGGGCAACAUAGUGAGACCCUGGCUCU
RNAcentral lists this signal recognition particle RNA (289 nucleotides) under Saimiri boliviensis boliviensis (Bolivian squirrel monkey). RNAcentral describes it as "Metazoan signal recognition particle RNA (ENSSBOG00000012262.1)". It matches the Rfam family "Metazoan signal recognition particle RNA". From Rfam's summary of the family: The signal recognition particle (SRP) is a universally conserved ribonucleoprotein. It is involved in the co-translational targeting of proteins to membranes. The eukaryotic SRP consists of a 300-nucleotide 7S RNA and six proteins: SRPs 72, 68, 54, 19, 14, and 9. The record is from RNAcentral. Lineage: Eukaryota; Metazoa; Chordata; Mammalia; Primates; Cebidae.